Paramuricea clavata is the source of this 123-nucleotide non-coding RNA. NCBI's taxonomy places the organism in Eukaryota, Metazoa, Cnidaria, Anthozoa, Malacalcyonacea, Plexauridae. The record is from the annotation of a GenBank genome assembly.
UAUGCCACGCUUCUAGGCAAAGUCUUUGACCAUAGCGAUUGUUUGUGGUAAGUACUUUAGGUAAUUACCACAAACAAUCGCUAUGGUCAAAGACUUUUCCUAGAAGCGUGGCAUAUAAAUAUG